Molecule: small nuclear RNA, 110 nt
Organism: Capra hircus (goat)
Lineage: Eukaryota; Metazoa; Chordata; Mammalia; Artiodactyla; Bovidae
Source: Ensembl
GUCCUGUUUCCUUCAGCAGUACAUGUACUAAAAUAGGAAUGAUAAAGGGAAGAUUAUUAUGGACCUGUGAAAGGAUGAUAAUACAAAUUCAUGAAGCAUCUUAUAUUUUU